Molecule: ribosomal RNA, 554 nt
Filed under: uncultured archaeon
Lineage: Archaea
Description: bacterial SSU rRNA
Rfam family: Archaeal small subunit ribosomal RNA
Source: RNAcentral
GCACUACAACGGGUGGAGCCUGCGGUUUAAUUGGACUCAACGCCGGAAAACUCACCGGGGGCGACAGCAACAUGUAGGUCAGGCUAAAGACCUUACCUGAAUCGCUGAGAGGAGGUGCAUGGCCGUCGUCAGUUCGUACUGUGAAGCAUCCUGUUAAGUCAGGCAACGCGCGAGACCCGUGCCCACUGUUGCCAGCAUGUCCUUCGGGAUGAUGGGUACUCUGUGGGGACCGCUGGUGCUAAACCAGAGGAAGGUGCGGGCUACGGUAGGUCAGUAUGCCCCGAAUCUCCCGGGCUACACGCGGGCUACAAUGGCUGGGACAAUGGGUCCCUACACCGAAAGGUGAUGGUAAUCUCUUAAACCCAGCCGUAGUUCGAAUCGAGGACUGUAACUCGUCCUCGUGAAGCUGGAAUCCGUAGUAAUCGCGUUUCAACAUAGCGCGGUGAAUACGUCCCUGCUCCUUGCACACACCGCCCGUCAAACCACCCGAGUGAGGUAUGGGUGAGGGCACGGAUUUUGUGCCGUGUUCGAACCUAAAUUUCGCAAGGGGGGUU